UACGGAGGGUGCGAGCGUUGUCCGGAAUCAUUGGGCGUAAAGGGCGCGUAGGUGGCCUGUGCAAGCGUGCGGUGAAAGCUCGGGGCUCAACCCCGAGUCGGCCGUGCGAACUGCUGGGCUCGAGCACUGUAGAGGCAGGCGGAAUUCCGGGUGUAGCGGUGAAAUGCGUAGAGCUCGGGAAGAACAUCGGUGGCGAAAGCGCUCUACUGGACGGUAUCUGACACUGAGGGACGAAAGCUAGGGGAGCGAAUGGG
This 254-nucleotide ribosomal RNA is filed under the name uncultured bacterium. RNAcentral describes it as "partial 16S ribosomal RNA". It matches the Rfam family "Bacterial small subunit ribosomal RNA", at positions 524 to 776 of the family's 1533-position model. The record is from RNAcentral.